Molecule: long non-coding RNA, 398 nt
Filed under: Monodelphis domestica (gray short-tailed opossum)
Lineage: Eukaryota; Metazoa; Chordata; Mammalia; Didelphimorphia; Didelphidae
Description: lncRNA (ENSMODG00000047809.1)
Source: RNAcentral
CUUUAAGUAUUCAGUAGAAUAUACUUAUGAAUCAAUUUGACCCUGUUUUUUUUCCCUCUUAGGAAAUUCAUUGAGUGCUUGUUCAAUAUCUUUCUCUGAGGAAAGACUGUGAAAAACUGGAGAAUAUUCAGAGAAGAGAAACUAAGUGGAAGAUCAAAGAAAAAAUAAUUGAAGCAACUAGAAAGAAAUCAUUCAUAUACCAUGGAGCCACAGUCAAGUUUACAAAAAGUGUAACAACUAUCAUGUUAAAGGAAUAUGUAAUGUGAUAUUGUUGAAGGAAAACAAGACGACCAAUAUAUAAAGCUACAAAAUCAUGCCAGAAUACAAGACCCAAUCAAAAUGGAAAACAGACCAAGAGAUUUUAAUGUAAACAGAGUAAAUAAAACUCAUUAAUAUGG